Molecule: long non-coding RNA, 1147 nt
Filed under: Chrysolophus pictus (golden pheasant)
Lineage: Eukaryota; Metazoa; Chordata; Aves; Galliformes; Phasianidae
Description: lncRNA (ENSCPIG00010012158.1)
Source: RNAcentral
UGCAAGUGGGCUGAUGAUGAAGGGGACUGAAAGCUAAGGCAGGGGCUGGGAAGUGUGUUUUUCUUGCAGUAACCUCUCUCCUUGUUCUCCUCCUUCUGUCUUUUCUAGGCAGGACAGGGCUGCUUGCUGAUCUCUUGCCCAGUUUUGCUGUGGAGAUUAUGCCAGAGUGGGUCUUUGUGGGCCUGGUGAUCCUGGGAGCGUUCCUGUUCUUCCUCCUGGUGGGGAUCUGCUGGUGUCAGUGCUGCCCGCACAGCUGCUGCUGUUACGUCCGCUGCCCCUGCUGCCCCGAGUCCUGCUGCUGUCCCCGGGCGUGUGAGUGACCCCAUCCAAGCUGAUGCAGAUCUUUCUUACUUCUGCUCCCUGGCAGAACAGGAGGAGAAUCUGUGAAUGUUGCUUCCUUUGCCCUAAGCACUUUGCUUAACUGAAGAACUAGUUCAUGGGGAGUGAAGCAUCUGACCUAUCACUCAAUGGUUGAGCGCUCAAAGUUAAUUACAAAUGUAAUUUUCCAGGUCCUCCCUGCCUUGGCAGCUGUGCCUUCUUCUUCAUAGUGUCAUGCUCCUCUUCAAAGUUGCUAUCAUGUCAGUGAGUGUUGUGGGGGCAGAACUAAGACCAUCCAGAGAAGUAUUUUCCCAACAUUGAAAAACAGCUGCCUUCUACAACAGUGCAAAAUCCUUGUAACCCAGCAAGGUUCUCCAUCAGAGUCAGGCAGAUCUGUCAAGUUUCAUGAGCCUCAUUCCUGCAGCUUGAGUCAUCAGUUGUUUCAGAAGCUGAAUUGCCACUAAAUGGUGGCAGCGGAAAUGCUGUCUCAGACACGCUGGUUGUCUUUCUGUCACUGGGCAUCUUACAGUGUUUACUUGACACGUGCAUUUUUAAACUCCCCCAGUUCCCGUUGAGGCUUAGAGAAUAUCAAAUUGGUCCUUGUCAUUUCAUUUGUCCAGAUGUCUCCUGCUAGGGUGUCACCAGCAUCAGUGGUUUGCAGGUUUCUGUCAUGUGACAUGUGGGUCUGGAGAAAGCUGGUGCAAUGCUGACUGGUGUUCUUUUUGUUUUUCAGUGUAUGUUGCAGGCAAGGCAGCAAAAGCAGGGUACCCCCCUGCGGUCUCCUCCAUCCCAGGUCCAUACUACAUCCCCAGUGUUCCUGUAGCUGGUG